AGAGGGGGACAACAGUUGGAAACGACUGCUAAUACCGCAUGAUACAUUUGGGUGGCAUCAUCUGAAUGUCAAAGAUUUAUCGCUGAAAGAUGGCCUCGCGUCUGAUUAGCUGGUUGGUGAGGUAACGGCCCACCAAGGCGACGAUCAGUAGCCGGACUGAGAGGUUGACCGGCCACAUUGGGACUGAGAUACGGCCCAGACUCCUACGGGAGGCAGCAGUGGGGAAUAUUGGGCAAUGGGCGCAAGCCUGACCCAGCAACGCCGCGUGAAGGAAGAAGGCUUUCGGGUUGUAAACUUCUUUUAAGAGGGAAGAGCAGAAGACUGUACCUCUAGAAUAAGCCACGGCUAACUACGUGCCAGCAGCCGCGGUAAUACGUAGGUGGCAAGCGUUGUCCGGAUUUACUGGGUGUAAAGGGCGUGCAGCCGGGAAUGCAAGUCAGAUGUGAAAUCCAUGGGCUUAACCCAUGAACUGCAUUUGAAACUGUAUUUCUUGAGUACUGGAGAGGCAAUCGGAAUUCCUAGUGUAGCGGUGAAAUGCGUAGAUAUUAGGAGGAACACCAGUGGCGAAGGCGGAUUGCUGGACAGCAACUGACGGUGAGGCGCGAAAGUGUGGGGAGCAAACAGGAUUAGAUACCCUGGUAGUCCACACUGUAAACGA
This 658-nucleotide ribosomal RNA is filed under the name uncultured bacterium. Its description in RNAcentral is "bacterial SSU rRNA". It matches the Rfam family "Bacterial small subunit ribosomal RNA", at positions 135 to 809 of the family's 1533-position model. The record is from RNAcentral.